UUGAGAGCGGCGUACGGGUGCGGAACACGUGUGCAACCUGCCUUUAUCAGGGGGAUAGCCUUUCGAAAGGAAGAUUAAUACCCCAUAAUAUAUUUUGAGGCAUCUUAAGAUAUUGAAAACUCCGGUGGAUAAAGAUGGGCACGCGCAAGAUUAGAUAGUUGGUGGGGUAACGGCCUACCAAGUCAAUGAUCUUUAGGGGGCCUGAGAGGGUGAUCCCCCACACUGGUACUGAGACACGGACCAGACUCCUACGGGAGGCAGCAGUGAGGAAUAUUGGACAAUGGGUGCGAGCCUGAUCCAGCCAUCCCGCGUGAAGGACGACGGCCCUAUGGGUUGUAAACUUCUUUUGUACAGGGAUAAACCUUUCCACGAGUGGAAAGCUGAAGGUACUGUACGAAUAAGCACCGGCUAACUCCGUGCCAGCAGCCGCGGUAAUACGGAGGGUGCAAGCGUUAUCCGGAUUUAUUGGGUUUAAAGGGUCCGUAGGCGGAUCAGUAAGUCAGUGGUGAAAUCUCAUAGCUCAACUAUGAAACUGCCAUUGAUACUGCUGGUCUUGAGUAAGGUAGAAGUAGCUGGAAUAAGUAGUGUAGCGGUGAAAUGCAUAGAUAUUACUUAGAACACCAAUUGCGAAGGCAGGUUACUAUGUCUUAACUGACGCUGAUGGACGAAAGCGUGGGGAGCGAACAGGAUUAGAUACCCUGGUAGUCCACGCCGUAAACGAUGCUAACUCGUUUUUGGGUUUUCGGAUUCAGAGACUAAGCGAAAGUGAUAAGUUAGCCACCUGGGGAGUACGAACGCAAGUUUGAAACUCAAAGGAAUUGACGGGGGCCCGCACAAGCGGUGGAUUAUGUGGUUUAAUUCGAUGAUACGCGAGGAACCUUACCAAGGCUUAAAUGGGAAUUGAUCGGUUUAGAAAUAGACCUUCCUUCGGGCAAUUUUCAAGGUGCUGCAUGGUUGUCGUCAGCUCGUGCCGUGAGGUGUUAGGUUAAGUCCUGCAACGAGCGCAACCCCUGUCACUAGUUGCCAUCAUUAAGUUGGGGACUCUAGUGAGACUGCCUACGCAAGUAGAGAGGAAGGUGGGGAUGACGUCAAAUCAUCACGGCCCUUACGCCUUGGGCCACACACGUAAUACAAUGGCCGGUACAGAGGGCAGCUACACAGCGAUGUGAUGCAAAUCUCGAAAGCCGGUCUCAGUUCGGAUUGGAGUCUGCAACUCGACUCUAUGAAGCUGGAAUCGCUAGUAAUCGCGCAUCAGCCA
RNAcentral lists this ribosomal RNA (1258 nucleotides) under Chryseobacterium sp. RNAcentral's name for it is "bacterial SSU rRNA". It matches the Rfam family "Bacterial small subunit ribosomal RNA", at positions 89 to 1354 of the family's 1533-position model. The record is from RNAcentral. Lineage: Bacteria; Pseudomonadati; Bacteroidota; Flavobacteriia; Flavobacteriales; Weeksellaceae.